AUCUGUGGUACUCUUUCUUUGUAAUGCUCAGAGUUUACGGACUAAAGCGCUCGUUGCAUUUUUUUUACCUUUUGUUUACAGUACAUUUAUGAACUUCGCUUGAAUGGAUUGAUGUAACACUUAUUUUUUAUUGUCUAACAUUUUUGUGGCAAUAAUCAAACUGGCGAGUGUUAAAGAAUCUGCGUUUGUUGCAAAGAAUUGGUUGGCACUUAAAAGUAUUCGAUGAUGAAGUGGUCAGUAAGUUCUUCUAUAUGCUGAUCGUCGGUAUGGAGCAGUGGCCGAAAUAUUUUUUGGCCGUUAACUGAUCUCUGAUCUCCGAAUAGCUGGCUAUUGGCUACGCAUAAAGAUUGUGCCUUAUUGAACGGGCAGCCAAGUGAUUAGAAUUGGCAGCCAAGUGACCUUUCGGGCUAAUCAUCGCUUCAGCCGCGUUGUACCACUAUCCACAAAGAUUCUGCUGGCUACUUGUGCAAAUUUUGCCGGACCGAUGCGGCCGUGUAUGCAGGAAGAUGUGGGAGGAAAUGGCGGCGGCUGAAGCACGAAAAAGAAACGGUAGUUCGA
Paramacrobiotus metropolitanus is the source of this 558-nucleotide long non-coding RNA. RefSeq lists it as uncharacterized. The transcript is spliced from 3 exons. The record is from RefSeq and is a predicted model, not a curated record. Lineage: Eukaryota; Metazoa; Tardigrada; Eutardigrada; Parachela; Macrobiotidae.